GACAAAGGGAACACGUGCGUGGAAUGGUGCCGGCUCGGCGAAGGCGACGACCGACAGCGUCGCAACAGGGACGGACACCAAUGCCGAUACUGGAAAACGGAUGAACGCAACAAGUGGAUGCAGACCGGCACAUGCCGCAACGGAAGGUGCUCCUGAAGAAACGGCGCGUUGAAUAAACGACGAUUCGCUCCACCCGA
Long non-coding RNA from Ixodes scapularis (black-legged tick), 197 nucleotides. RefSeq lists it as uncharacterized. Lineage: Eukaryota; Metazoa; Arthropoda; Arachnida; Ixodida; Ixodidae. The transcript is spliced from 2 exons. The record is from RefSeq and is a predicted model, not a curated record.